RNAcentral lists this ribosomal RNA (256 nucleotides) under uncultured bacterium. RNAcentral's name for it is "partial 16S ribosomal RNA". It matches the Rfam family "Bacterial small subunit ribosomal RNA", at positions 524 to 776 of the family's 1533-position model. The record is from RNAcentral.
UACAGAGGUCCCAAGCGUUGUUCGGAUUCACUGGGCGUAAAGGGUGCGUAGGCGGUCGGGUAAGUCUGAUGUGAAAUCUCACAGCUUAACUGUGAAAACUGCAUUGGAUACUAUCCGGCUCGAGGAAUGGAGGGGGAGACUGGAAUACUUGGUGUAGCAGUGAAAAUGCGUAGAUAUCAAGUGGAACACCAGUGGCGAAGGCGAGUCUCUGGACAUUUCCUGACGCUGAGGCACGAAAGCCAGGGGAGCAAACGGG